This 253-nucleotide ribosomal RNA is filed under the name uncultured bacterium. RNAcentral's name for it is "partial 16S ribosomal RNA". It matches the Rfam family "Bacterial small subunit ribosomal RNA", at positions 524 to 776 of the family's 1533-position model. The record is from RNAcentral.
UACGGGGGGGGCAAGCGUUGUUCGGAAUUACUGGGCGUAAAGGGCUCGUAGGCGGUUUUGUAAGUCAGUGGUGAAAGCCCAUCGCUCAACGGUGGAACGGCCAUUGAUACUGCAAGACUUGAAUUAUUGGGAAGUAACUAGAAUAUGUAGUGUAGCGGUGAAAUGCUUAGAGAUUACAUGGAAUACCAAUUGCGAAGGCAGGUUACUACCAAUAUAUUGACGCUGAUGGACGAAAGCGUGGGGAGCGAACAGG